RNAcentral lists this long non-coding RNA (478 nucleotides) under Triticum aestivum (bread wheat). RNAcentral's name for it is "long non-coding RNA (TAES_LNC016938)". The record is from RNAcentral. Lineage: Eukaryota; Viridiplantae; Streptophyta; Magnoliopsida; Poales; Poaceae.
CUAGUGAGCGCACACAGACUAACAUCACAAGGCAGGAGAGAAUAGAGGGAACAGGUCCCUGAUGAUGAUAGUGUCGAUGAUGAUCAGAUUGGGUAGAUCAUCCACCUCCUCAUUGUGGUGCGCACCAAAAUGAUCUACACACAUUUGUCAUCCAAAGUAAAAACCUGCAUGAUUAAAAAACCUACAUCAAAACUUCUUACAAUCAAUCAAACAAUAAAGAUCAGUGUGGAUUCUAAAUGAGUACAGCGCGAAGCUACUCCUAUCAAUCUCAAACUUGUAUUUUUGUUUGUUGCAAUCUAAACUAUAUCACCACAAGUUCUAUGAUGCAUCCAAACUUGUGAAAUUCAUGCAUAGAUUCAAGUAUGAUACUAAGUGAGCAGGUAGAAUCACGCAAGCAUGGAGGCAAGUGUCUCACCUGCGGCAACUGACCAGGAGCGAAGUUGAGCAUGGCCGUGGCAGGAGCACCUGGAGUAGCACG